RNAcentral lists this ribosomal RNA (937 nucleotides) under uncultured bacterium. RNAcentral describes it as "bacterial SSU rRNA". It matches the Rfam family "Bacterial small subunit ribosomal RNA", at positions 51 to 981 of the family's 1533-position model. The record is from RNAcentral.
ACACAUGCAAGUCGAGUGCGCAGUUUCCCUGUAGCAAUACAGGGGAAUGGGCGCACGGCGCACGGGUGAGUAACACGUGGGCAACCUGCCCUCCAAUGGGGGAUAACCCGCCGAAAGGCGGGCUAAUACCGCAUGACAUCACGGUGGCUUCGGCCGCUGUAAUCAAAGGCCGCAAGGCCGUUGGAGGAGGGGCCCGCGCCCGAUUAGCUAGUUGGUGAGGUAACGGCUCACCAAGGCAUUGAUCGGUAGCCGGUCUGAGAGGAUGGCCGGCCACACUGGAACUGAGACACGGUCCAGACUCCUACGGGAGGCAGCAGUGGGGAAUCUUGCGCAAUGGGCGAAAGCCUGACGCAGCGACGCCGCGUGGGGGAUGAAGCUUCUCGGAGUGUAAACCCCUUUCGACCCGGAAGAAUGUCCCGCAAGGGAUUGACGGUACGGGUAUAAGAAGCCCCGGCUAACUACGUGCCAGCAGCCGCGGUAAGACGUAGGGGGCCAGCGUUGCUCGGAAUUACUGGGCGUAAAGGGUUCGUAGGCGGUGCGGCAAGUCGGAAGUGAAAUCUCCAGGCUCAACUUGGAGGCUGCUCCCGAAACUGCCGCGCUAGAGUGCGGGAGAGGCCAGUGGAAUUGCAGGCGUAGCGGUGAAAUGCGUAGAUAUCUGCAGGAACACCCGUGGCGAAGGCGGCUGGCUGGACCGCAACUGACGCUGAGGAACGAAAGCUAGGGGAGCAAACAGGAUUAGAUACCCUGGUAGUCCUAGCCCUAAACGAUCAGGACUUGGGGUGCAUCCCGACGGGAUGCGUCCCGUAGCUAACGCGUUAAGUCCUGCGCCUGGGGAGUACGGUCGCAAGACUGAAACUCAAAGGAAUUGACGGGGGCCCGCACAAGCGGUGGAACAUGUGGUUCAAUUCGACGCAACGCGAAGAACCUUACCUGGGCU